RNAcentral lists this ribosomal RNA (603 nucleotides) under Pantoea sp. RNAcentral's name for it is "bacterial SSU rRNA". It matches the Rfam family "Bacterial small subunit ribosomal RNA", at positions 848 to 1451 of the family's 1533-position model. Lineage: Bacteria; Pseudomonadati; Pseudomonadota; Gammaproteobacteria; Enterobacterales; Erwiniaceae. The record is from RNAcentral.
GGAGCUAACGCGUUAAGUCGACCGCCUGGGGAGUACGGCCGCAAGGUUAAAACUCAAAUGAAUUGACGGGGGCCCGCACAAGCGGUGGAGCAUGUGGUUUAAUUCGAUGCAACGCGAAGAACCUUACCUACUCUUGACAUCCAGCGAACUUUCCAGAGAUGGAUUGGUGCCUUCGGGAACGCUGAGACAGGUGCUGCAUGGCUGUCGUCAGCUCGUGUUGUGAAAUGUUGGGUUAAGUCCCGCAACGAGCGCAACCCUUAUCCUUUGUUGCCAGCGAUUCGGUCGGGAACUCAAAGGAGACUGCCGGUGAUAAACCGGAGGAAGGUGGGGAUGACGUCAAGUCAUCAUGGCCCUUACGAGUAGGGCUACACACGUGCUACAAUGGCGCAUACAAAGAGAAGCGACCUCGCGAGAGCAAGCGGACCUCAUAAAGUGCGUCGUAGUCCGGAUCGGAGUCUGCAACUCGACUCCGUGAAGUCGGAAUCGCUAGUAAUCGUGGAUCAGAAUGCCACGGUGAAUACGUUCCCGGGCCUUGUACACACCGCCCGUCACACCAUGGGAGUGGGUUGCAAAAGAAGUAGGUAGCUUAACCUUCGGGAGGGC